This 465-nucleotide ribosomal RNA is filed under the name uncultured bacterium. RNAcentral describes it as "partial 16S ribosomal RNA". It matches the Rfam family "Bacterial small subunit ribosomal RNA", at positions 28 to 507 of the family's 1533-position model. The record is from RNAcentral.
GACGAACGCUGGCGGCGUGCUUAACACAUGCAAGUCGUACGGUAAGGCCCUUUCGGGGGUACACGAGUGGCGAACGGGUGAGUAACACGUGAGUAACCUGCCCACAACUUUGGGAUAACGCUAGGAAACUGGUGCUAAUACUGGAUAUGUGCCCCUGCUGCAUGGUGGGGGUUGGAAAGCUCCGGCGGUUGUGGAUGGACUCGCGGCCUAUCAGCUUGUUGGUGGGGUAGUGGCCUACCAAGGCGGCGACGGGUAGCCGGCCUGAGAGGGUGACCGGCCACAAUGGGACUGAGAUACGGCCCAGACUCCUACGGGAGGCAGCAGGGGGGAAUAUUGCACAAUGGGCGCAAGCCUGAUGCAGCAACGCCGCGUGCGGGAUGACGGCCUUCGGGUUGUAAACCGCUUUCAGCAGGGACGAAGCUUUUUGUGACGGUACCUGCAGAAGAAGCACCGGCUAACUACGUG